Molecule: ribosomal RNA, 577 nt
Filed under: uncultured bacterium
Lineage: Bacteria
Description: partial 16S ribosomal RNA
Rfam family: Bacterial small subunit ribosomal RNA
Source: RNAcentral
UGGGGAAUUUUGGACAAUGGGGGAAACCCUGAUCCAGCCAUCCCGCGUGUGCGAUGAAGGCCUUCGGGUUGUAAAGCACUUUUGGCAGGAAAGAAACGUCGCGGGCUAAUACCCCGCGAAACUGACGGUACCUGCAGAAUAAGCACCGGCUAACUACGUGCCAGCAGCCGCGGUAAUACGUAGGGUGCAAGCGUUAAUCGGAAUUACUGGGCGUAAAGCGUGCGCAGGCGGUUCGGAAAGAAAGAUGUGAAAUCCCAGAGCUUAACUUUGGAACUGCAUUUUUAACUACCGGGCUAGAGUGUGUCAGAGGGAGGUGGAAUUCCGCGUGUAGCAGUGAAAUGCGUAGAUAUGCGGAGGAACACCGAUGGCGAAGGCAGCCUCCUGGGAUAACACUGACGCUCAUGCACGAAAGCGUGGGGAGCAAACAGGAUUAGAUACCCUGGUAGUCCACGCCCUAAACGAUGUCAACUAGCUGUUGGGGCCUUCGGGCCUUGGUAGCGCAGCUAACGCGUGAAGUUGACCGCCUGGGGAGUACGGUCGCAAGAUUAAAACUCAAAUGAAUUGACGGGGGUCGAUA